CCAAUAGCGUAUAUUAAAGUUGUUGCAGUUAAAAAGCUCGUAGUUGAAUUUCGGGAUCAAAGGAUCGGUCAUGCCUUGGUAUGUACUGGUUUUAUUGGUUCUCACCUUCUAAAGAACCAUAAUGUCAUUCAUUUGAUGUUAUGGGGAAUUAGGACUGUUACCUUGAAAAAAUUAGAGUGUUUAAAGCAGGCUUACGCUUGAAUACAUUAGCAUGGAAUAAUGAAAUAGGACAUCAGAUUCUAUUUUGUUGGUUUCUAGGAUCGAUGUAAUGAUUAAUAGGGAUAGUUGGGGGCAUUAGUAUUCAAUUGUCAGAGGUGAAAUUCUUGGAUUUAUUGAAGACUAACUACUGCGAAAGCAUUUGCCAAGGAUGUUUUCAUUAAUCAAGAACGAAAGUUAGGGGAUCGAAGACGAUCAGAUACCGUCGUAGUCUUAACCAUAAACUAUGCCGACUAGGGAUCGGAUGAUGUUAAUUUUAUAAUGACUCAUUCGGCACCUUACGGGAAACCAAAGUGUUUGGUUC
Molecule: ribosomal RNA, 520 nt
Filed under: uncultured Glomus
Lineage: Eukaryota; Fungi; Glomeromycota; Glomeromycetes; Glomerales; Glomeraceae
Description: SSU rRNA
Rfam family: Eukaryotic small subunit ribosomal RNA
Source: RNAcentral